This 1000-nucleotide ribosomal RNA is filed under the name Arthrobacter sp. RNAcentral describes it as "bacterial SSU rRNA". It matches the Rfam family "Bacterial small subunit ribosomal RNA", at positions 475 to 1476 of the family's 1533-position model. Lineage: Bacteria; Bacillati; Actinomycetota; Actinomycetes; Micrococcales; Micrococcaceae. The record is from RNAcentral.
GUACUGCAGAAAAAGCGCGGCUAACUACGUGCCAGCAGCCGCGGUAAUACGUAGGGCGCAGCGUCAUCAGAAAUUAUUGGGCGUAAAGAGCUCGUAGGCGGUUUGUCGCGUCUGCUGUGAAAUCCCGAGGCUCAACCUCGGGCUGCAGUGGGUACGGGCAGACUAGAGUGCGGUAGGGGAGAUUGGAAUUCCUGGUGUAGCGGUGGAAUGCGCAGAUAUCAGGAGGAACACCGAUGGCGAAGGCAGAUCUCUGGGCCGUAACUGACGCUGAGGAGCGAAAGGGUGGGGAGCAAACAGGCUUAGAUACCCUGGUAGUCCACCCCGUAAACGUUGGGAACUAGUUGUGGGGUCCUUUCCACGGAUUCCGUGACGCAGCUAACGCAUUAAGUUCCCCGCCUGGGGAGUACGGCCGCAAGGCUAAAACUCAAAGGAAUUGACGGGGACCCGCACAAGCGGCGGAGCAUGCGGAUUAAUUCGAUGCAACGCGAAGAACCUUACCAAGGCUUGACAUACACGAGAACACCCUAGAAAUAGGGGACUCUUUGGACACUCGUGAACAGGUGGUGCAUGGUUGUCGUCAGCUCGUGUCGUGAGAUGUUGGGUUAAGUCCCGCAACGAGCGCAACCCUCGUUCUAUGUUGCCAGCACGUAAUGGUGGGAACUCAUGGGAUACUGCCGGGGUCAACUCGGAGGAAGGUGGGGAUGACGUCAAAUCAUCAUGCCCCUUAUGUCUUGGGCUUCACGCAUGCUACAAUGGCCGGUACAAAGGGCUGCAAUACCGCGAGGUGGAGCGAAUCCCAAAAAGCCGGUCCCAGUUCGGAUUGAGGUCUGCAACUCGACCUCAUGAAGUCGGAGUCGCUAGUAAUCGCAGAUCAGCAACGCUGCGGUGAAUACGUUCCCGGGUCUUGUACACACCGCCCGUCAAGUCAUGAAAGUCGGUAACACCUGAAGCCGGUGGCCCAACCCUUGUGGGAGCAGCCGUCGAAUAGGGAUCCACCCCC